Molecule: small RNA, 18 nt
Filed under: Arabidopsis thaliana (thale cress)
Lineage: Eukaryota; Viridiplantae; Streptophyta; Magnoliopsida; Brassicales; Brassicaceae
Description: ATSL186900
Source: RNAcentral
GUUUUCAAAGUCCAAAGA